AGCAUAUCAAUAAGCGGAGGAAAAGAAACCAACAGGGAUUGCCCUAGUAACGGCGAGUGAAGCGGCAACAGCUCAAAUUUGAAAUCUGGCUCUUUCAGGGUCCGAGUUGUAAUUUGCAGAGGGCGCUUUGGCGUUGGCAGCGGUCCAAGUUCCUUGGAACAGGACGUCACAGAGGGUGAGAAUCCCGUACGUGGUCGCUGGCCUCCGCCGUGUAAAGCCCCUUCGACGAGUCGAGUUGUUUGGGAAUGCAGCUCUAAAUGGGAGGUAAAUUUCUUCUAAAGCUAAAUACUGGCCAGAGACCGAUAGCGCACAAGUAGAGUGAUCGAAAGAUGAAAAGCACUUUGGAAAGAGAGUCAAAUAGCACGUGAAAUUGUUGAAAGGGAAGCGCUUGCAGCCAGACUUGCCUGUAGUUGCUCACCCGGGCUCCUGCCCGGUGCACUCUUCUAUAGGCAGGCCAGCAUCAGUUUGGGCGGUUGGAUAAAGGUCUCUGUCAUGUACCUCUCUUCGGGGAGGCCUUAUAGGGGAGACGACAUGCAACCAGCCUGGACUGAGGUCCGCGCAUUUGCUAGGAUGCUGGCGUAAUGGCUGUAAGCGGCCCGUCUUGAAACACGGACCAAGGAGUCUAACAUCUAUGCGAGUGUUUGGGUGUCAAGCCCGAACGCGUAAUGAAAGUGAACGGAGGUGGGAACCCUUACGGGUGCACCAUCGACCGAUCCUGAUGUCUUCGGAAGGAUUUGAGUAAGAGCAUGGCUGUUGGGACCCGAAAGAUGGUGAACUAUGCUUGAAUAGGGUGAAGCCAGAGGAAACUCUGGUGGAGGCUCGCAGCGGUUCUGACGUGCAAAUCGAUCGUCAAAUUUGGGCAUAGGGGCGAAAGACUAAUCGA
RNAcentral lists this ribosomal RNA (883 nucleotides) under Plenodomus agnitus. Its description in RNAcentral is "LSU rRNA". It matches the Rfam family "Eukaryotic large subunit ribosomal RNA", at positions 37 to 938 of the family's 3401-position model. Lineage: Eukaryota; Fungi; Ascomycota; Dothideomycetes; Pleosporales; Leptosphaeriaceae. The record is from RNAcentral.